This 254-nucleotide ribosomal RNA is filed under the name uncultured bacterium. RNAcentral describes it as "partial 16S ribosomal RNA". It matches the Rfam family "Bacterial small subunit ribosomal RNA", at positions 524 to 776 of the family's 1533-position model. The record is from RNAcentral.
UACGUAGGGGGGCAAGCGUUGUCCGGAAUUAUUGGGCGUAAAGCGCGUGUAGGCGGCUCGGUAAGUCUGCUGUGAAAGUCCAGGGCUCAACCCUGGAAUGCCGGUGGAUACUGUCGAGCUAGAGUCCGGAAGAGGCGAGUGGAAUUCCUGGUGUAGCGGUGAAAUGCGCAGAUAUCAGGAGGAACACCAAUGGCGAAGGCAGCUCGCUGGGACGGUACUGACGCUGAGACGCGAAAGCGUGGGGAGCAAACAGG